Molecule: ribosomal RNA, 497 nt
Filed under: uncultured bacterium
Lineage: Bacteria
Description: partial 16S ribosomal RNA
Rfam family: Bacterial small subunit ribosomal RNA
Source: RNAcentral
GAUGAACGCUGGCGGCGUGCCUAAUACAUGCAAGUCGAGCGAACAGACGAGGAGCUUGCUCCUCUGACGUUAGCGGCGGACGGGUGAGUAACACGUGGAUAACCUACCUAUAAGACUGGGAGAACUUCGGGAAACCGGAGCUAAUACCGGAUCAUAUAUUGAACCGCAUGGUUCAAUAGUGAAAGACGGUUUUGCUGUCACUUAUAGAUAGAUCCGCGCCGCAUUAGCUAGUUGGUAAGGUAACGGCUUACCAAGGCAACGAUGCGUAGCCGACCUGAGAGGGUGAUCGGCCACACUGGAACUGAGACACGGUCCAGACUCCUACGGGAGGCAGCAGUAGGGAAUCUUCCGCAAUGGGCGAAAGCCUGACGGAGCAACGCCGCGUGAGUGAUGAAGGUCUUCGGAUCGUAAAACUCUGUUAUUAGGGAAGAACAAAUGUGUAAGUAACUAUGCACGUCUUGACGGUACCUAAUCAGAAAGCCACGGCUAACUACGUG